GUACUCACUUCUGCAGCACAUAUACUAAAAUUGGAAUGAUACAGAGGAGAUUAACAUGGGCCCUGAACAAGGGAGAAAAAAAGAAGAAAAGGUUCCCUUUUAG
Small nuclear RNA from Suncus etruscus (white-toothed pygmy shrew), 103 nucleotides. Lineage: Eukaryota; Metazoa; Chordata; Mammalia; Eulipotyphla; Soricidae. The record is from RefSeq and is a predicted model, not a curated record.